GCCUGUGACCUAAUUACCCUGCAAUGCACCUGAUCUUGUUAGAUUUCAAAAGCGAAACAGGGUUAAGCCUGGUUAGUACUUGGAUUUGGAGACUAGCUGGAACAAUCAAGAGUUGCAGGCU
RNAcentral lists this ribosomal RNA (121 nucleotides) under Petromyzon marinus (sea lamprey). The record is from RNAcentral. Lineage: Eukaryota; Metazoa; Chordata; Hyperoartia; Petromyzontiformes; Petromyzontidae.